UGCAUCGAUGAAGAACGCAGCGAAAUGCGAUACGUAAUGUGAAUUGCAGAAUUCAGUGAAUCAUCGAAUCUUUGAACGCAUAUUGCGCUCUUUGGUAUUCCGAAGAGCAUGCUUGUUUGAGUAUCAGUAAACACCUCAAAGCUUUUGAUUUUUUUUCAAAUGUUUUGGACUUGAGCAAUCCCAACACCAAUCUUUUUUAGAUCGGCGGCGGGUUGCUUGAAAUGCAGGUGCAGCUGGACAUUCUCCUGAGCUAAAAGCAUAUUUAUUUAGUCCCGUCAAACGGAUUAUUACUUUUGCUGCAGCUAAUAUAAAGGGAGUUUGACCAUUUUGGCUGACUGAUGCAGGAUUUCACAAGGGUCGGCAACGAUUCUUGUAAAACUCGAUCUCAAAUCAAGUAAGACUACCCGCUGAACUUAAGCAUAUCAAUAAGCGGAGGAA
RNAcentral lists this ribosomal RNA (438 nucleotides) under fungal sp. 38263-S2. Its description in RNAcentral is "eukaryotic LSU rRNA". The stretch from base 1 to 126 matches the Rfam family "5.8S ribosomal RNA", at positions 29 to 154 of the family's 154-position model. The record is from RNAcentral. Lineage: Eukaryota; Fungi.